RNAcentral lists this ribosomal RNA (431 nucleotides) under uncultured bacterium. RNAcentral describes it as "partial 16S ribosomal RNA". It matches the Rfam family "Bacterial small subunit ribosomal RNA", at positions 29 to 507 of the family's 1533-position model. The record is from RNAcentral.
AACGAACGCUGGCGGCAGGCUUAACACACGCAAGUCGAGCGCCCCGCAAGGGGCGCGGCAGACGGGUGAGUAACGCGUGGGAACGUACCUUUUGGUUCGGAACAACUCCGGGAAACUGGAGCUAAUACCGGAUAAGCCCUAACGGGGAAAGAUUUAUCGCCGAAAGAUCGGCCCGCGUCUGAUUAGCUAGUUGGUGAGGUAACGGCUCACCAAGGCGACGAUCAGUAGCUGGUCUGAGAGGAUGAUCAGCCACACUGGGACUGAGACACGGCCCAGACUCCUACGGGAGGCAGCAGUGGGGAAUAUUGGACAAUGGGCGCAAGCCUGAUCCAGCCAUGCCGCGUGAGUGAUGAAGGCCUUAGGGUUGUAAAGCUCUUUUGUCCGGGAAGAUAAUGACUGUACCGGAAGAAUAAGCCCCGGCUAACUUCGUG